CGAAAAAAUCAUUCCGAAACCGCACGAAAGAUUCAACGAAUCUAUUCGUUGAAGUCGAACAAUUUCGUGUUUAAAAGAAUUUCGGAAGCAGGGACUAAAACGAAUAUGCUCGGUGUAGAAGCGGAUGAUCUUCUCUAAAAAGCCAACGACGUGGAGGGUUAAUUCCGCAGGAACGGCGAGAAGAGAGACGACGCCGGUGGAUUAUCCGUACCUAGGCGAAGAGACGCGGGAGACGCGGAGGAAAAAGAAAUGGGAAGCCAUUUCCGUCGUGUCCUUAUUUAGAGGAGGGACACGUCCGGGAUCAGGAGAAAAUAUAUGUGCGUUCCCGCAAUACACACCACUGUGCGCGGUCUGUGGGCCGAGCUCGCUGUCGGGGACGAAGUCUGGAAGGAAGGUCGCGCCUUUAUACGCGCGCUUACUUUGUGCUGUCCCAUGUGGCCGCGAACGAGCAAUGAGAUUCUUGG
This 464-nucleotide unclassified non-coding RNA is filed under the name Bombus terrestris (buff-tailed bumblebee). Its description in RNAcentral is "misc RNA ENSBTSG00005034164.1". The record is from RNAcentral. Lineage: Eukaryota; Metazoa; Arthropoda; Insecta; Hymenoptera; Apidae.